RNAcentral lists this ribosomal RNA (1044 nucleotides) under uncultured soil eukaryote. RNAcentral's name for it is "partial small subunit ribosomal RNA". It matches the Rfam family "Eukaryotic small subunit ribosomal RNA", at positions 13 to 956 of the family's 1831-position model. The record is from RNAcentral.
CCUGCCAGUAACAUAUGCUUGCGUAAAGGACUAAGCCAUGCAGGUGUAAGUCUAAGAGGCGCCUCGUGCACACCCUCAAAACUGCGGAUGGCUCAUUACAUCAGUGGCAAUCUACACAGCUAGAUGGAGGCCGUGCCCGUUGCCCUUCGGGGUGGCGAUCAGCACGGUCUCCAACCGAUAGAUGGAUAACUGUGGUAACUCCAUAGCUAAUACAUGACGCGAAGUCCCGUGCCAGAGGGACGCAUUUACCAGUCAUUUCAAGGAUCCCACGCGUGCCCCGCGUAAGAGGAGUCAUGGUAAACAUCUAGCGGACCGCAUCUAAGGCUCGCGGCACGCUACGGCCCCUAACACGGGCCUAGUGUGUUUCGAGCCGGGCGGCGGGCUGUUCGAGCUUCUGCCCCAUCAGCUAGACGGUAGUUUACAGGACUACCGUGGCUGCCACGGGUAACGGGGAAUUAGGGUUCGAUUCCGGAGAGGGAGCCUGAGAGAUGGCUACCACUUCCAAGGAAGGCAGCAGGCGCGCAAAUUACCCAAUCUCAGUACGAGGAGGUAGUGACGAUAAAUAACGAUAUGGAUCCUUCGGGGUCCAUAAUCGGAAUGAGCACAGUGUAAAUAUCUUAACGAGGAACAAUUGGAGGACAAGUCUGGUGCCAGCACCCGCGGUAAUUCCAGCUCCAAGAGCGUAUAUUAAAGUUGUUGCAGUUAAAAAGCUCGUAGUCUGAAUUUGAGGAUUCUGGUAGUUUAGGGGCCUGUCGGAAGAUGGGCUGACCGGCUACUUGGCCUCAAACACCUAGUUGAUGCCUCUGCUCUUAAUUGAGUGGGGGUUUAGGCUGGGUCUUUUACCUUGAAGAAAUUGGAGUGUUCAAAGCAGAUAUUCUUUCGUCUUGCACAUAUUAGCAUGGGACAAUGAAAGAAGACCGCGUCAGAGUCUGGUAGUAACUCGGGCGCGGUAAUGAUCGAUAGGGGCGAUGGGGGCGGUUGGUAUUCAGCGGCUAGAGGUGAAAUUCUUAGAUUCGCUGCAGACUCCCGGAAGCAAAAGCGUUC